This 253-nucleotide ribosomal RNA is filed under the name uncultured bacterium. Its description in RNAcentral is "partial 16S ribosomal RNA". It matches the Rfam family "Bacterial small subunit ribosomal RNA", at positions 524 to 776 of the family's 1533-position model. The record is from RNAcentral.
UACGAAGGGGGCUAGCGUUGCUCGGAAUCACUGGGCGUAAAGGGUGCGUAGGCGGGUCUUUAAGUCAGGGGCGAAAUCCUGGAGCUCAACUCCAGAACUGCCUUUGAUACUGAAGAUCUUGAGUUCGGGAGAGGUGAGUGGAACUGCGAGUGUAGAGGUGAAAUUCGUAGAUAUUCGCAAGAACACCAGUGGCGAAGGCGGCUCACUGGCCCGAUACUGACACUGAUGCACGCAAGCGUGGGGAGCAAACAGG